Molecule: ribosomal RNA, 635 nt
Filed under: uncultured bacterium
Lineage: Bacteria
Description: bacterial SSU rRNA
Rfam family: Bacterial small subunit ribosomal RNA
Source: RNAcentral
UGGUAGUNCACGCCCUAAACGAUGUCGAUUAGCUGUUGGGCAGCUUGACUGCUUAGUAGCGUAGCUAACGCGUGAAAUCGACCGCCUGGGGAGUACGGUCGCAAGAUUAAAACUCAAAGGAAUUGACGGGGACCCGCACAAGCGGUGGAUGAUGUGGAUUAAUUCGAUGCAACGCGAAGANCCUUACCUGGUCUUGACAUGUACGGAACCUUCCAGAGACGGAAGGGUGCCUUCGGGAGCCGUAACACAGGUGCUGCAUGGCUGUCGUCAGCUCGUGUCGUGAGAUGUUGGGUUAAGUCCCGCAACGAGCGCAACCCUUGUCAUUAGUUGCCAUCAUUCAGUUGGGCACUCUAAUGAGACUGCCGGUGACAAACCGGAGGAAGGUGGGGAUGACGUCAAGUCCUCAUGGCCCUUAUGACCAGGGCUUCACACGUCAUACAAUGGUCGGUACAAAGGGUAGCCAAGCCGCGAGGCGGAGCCAAUCUCAUAAAACCGAUCGUAGUCCGGAUUGCACUCUGCAACUCGAGUGCAUGAAGUCGGAAUCGCUAGUAAUCGCAGGUCAGCAUACUGCGGUGAAUACGUUCCCGGGUCUUGUACACACCGCCCGUCACACCAUGGGAGUGGGGGAUACCAGA